UACGAAGGGGGCUAGCGUUGUUCGGAAUUACUGGGCGUAAAGCGCGUGUAGGCGGGUCUUUAAGUCAGGGGUGAAAUGCCAAGGCUCAACCUUGGAACUGCCUUUGAUACUGGAGAUCUUGAGUCCGGGAGAGGUGAGUGGAAUUGCGAGUGUAGAGGUGAAAUUCGUAGAUAUUCGCAAGAACACCAGUGGCGAAGGCGGCUCACUGGCCCGGAACUGACGCUGAGACGCGAAAGCGUGGGGAGCAAACAGG
RNAcentral lists this ribosomal RNA (253 nucleotides) under uncultured bacterium. RNAcentral's name for it is "partial 16S ribosomal RNA". It matches the Rfam family "Bacterial small subunit ribosomal RNA", at positions 524 to 776 of the family's 1533-position model. RNAcentral also lists the same sequence under 3 other names. The record is from RNAcentral.